AGUGAACGCUGGCGGUAGGCCUAACACAUGCCAGUCGAACGGCAGCACAGUAAGAGCUUGCUCUUACGGGUGGCGAGUGGCGGACGGGUGAGGAAUACAUCGGAAUCUACUUUUUCGUGGGGGAUAACGUAGGGAAACUUACGCUAAUACCGCAUACGACCUACGGGUGAAAGCAGGGGAUCUUCGGACCUUGCGCGAUUGAAUGAGCGGAUGUCGGAUUAGCUAGUUGGCGGGGUAAAGGCCCACCAAGGCGACGAUCCGUAGCUGGUCUGAGAGGAUGAUCAGCCACACUGGAACUGAGACACGGUCCAGACUCCUACGGGAGGCAGCAGUGGGGAAUAUUGGACAAUGGGCGCAAGCCUGAUCCAGCCAUACCGCGUGGGUGAAGAAGGCCUUCGGGUUGUAAAGCCCUUUUGUUGGGAAAGAAAAGCAGCAGGUUAAUACCCCGCUGUUCUGACGGUACCCAAAGAAUAAGCACCGGCUAACUUCGUG
This 492-nucleotide ribosomal RNA is filed under the name uncultured bacterium. RNAcentral's name for it is "partial 16S ribosomal RNA". It matches the Rfam family "Bacterial small subunit ribosomal RNA", at positions 29 to 507 of the family's 1533-position model. The record is from RNAcentral.